Molecule: non-coding RNA, 118 nt
Organism: Cajanus cajan (pigeon pea)
Lineage: Eukaryota; Viridiplantae; Streptophyta; Magnoliopsida; Fabales; Fabaceae
Source: Rfam
GAGCUGUGUGAUAAGAACAAAGCACACUAUUCUUUCACCUUUUACUAAAGAAUACAAUGUGAUUGUCUCUUUAACCUGCAUACACUAAUUUUUAUAAAGGGUCUUCAAAAAAGGACCC